Non-coding RNA from Podarcis lilfordi (Lilford's wall lizard), 72 nucleotides. The record is from the annotation of a GenBank genome assembly. Lineage: Eukaryota; Metazoa; Chordata; Lepidosauria; Squamata; Lacertidae.
GGGGAUAUAGCUCAGGGGCAGAGCACUUGUUUUGCAUACGGAGGGUCCCAGGUUCAAUCCCUGGCAUCUCCA